CUCUAUUGUCUAGCUAUAGGUGGGGGUGAGUAUUGUGAUUAUGAUUUGGAAGCAUGAAAAGUUUGAAGGAAAAGAAUAGACUCUUUGUGUUUAAAUGGAUAAUCUUAUUGGAAUUAGUAGAUAAACAUCUAGCUCGAGUUUAUGAAAAUUCUUGGCCCCCGAAAAAAAAUAAUAAUAAAGAAAAAGAAAAAAAAUAUAUAUAGAAAAAGAAAAAAAAAGAGAGAGAAAAGGGGGCUAGUAAAGUUGUUAGGAGCUAAGAUUGUUUUGAGGUUGAGGAAAAUCCUUUAUAGAUUUCAAAGAAAAAGAGUUUUAUGUGAAAGGUGUUCUUGGGUUCUUUUGGUGAGAGAUGUGAGUUGGGUUUGACAUUGGGAAGUGAUUGUGUAACUUGAAUGUUUGGGAAAAGGGUAGAACAAUGGAGAUUGAGCAUUGUAUGCAUG
RNAcentral lists this long non-coding RNA (437 nucleotides) under Brassica napus (rape). Its description in RNAcentral is "long non-coding RNA (BNAP_LNC010236)". Lineage: Eukaryota; Viridiplantae; Streptophyta; Magnoliopsida; Brassicales; Brassicaceae. The record is from RNAcentral.